AUGACAGACUCUGGCAUUGACCACCGUGCUCAACAUCUAGUUGCGAUCUUCUCCUGGCGUCACCGGAAUACCUGGGGGAACCAUCGUUGCGAUAGCCGCCGUGCUGCUGCCCGCUGCUGCAUGCUGAGGGGCCUGUUGAUGCAAGGGCAACCACCAUCCGCCACAUGUGCUACUGCAAAGGACUGGCAGGCGAUGCACUGUUCCCACAAGUCCAGAGUUGCAACCAACGAGUACCAAUGUUGUGACCAACAAGGGCGAGAGCUGCGAUUGGCGCGAGAUGGUGUUACGACGGGAGUGUGCGGGAACUAUGGCAAGGGCAUGUUGGAACUUCAAUCGGCGAGGGGGAUGCUUCGAAGGUGA
Molecule: ribosomal RNA, 360 nt
Filed under: Triticum aestivum (bread wheat)
Lineage: Eukaryota; Viridiplantae; Streptophyta; Magnoliopsida; Poales; Poaceae
Description: partial small subunit ribosomal RNA
Source: RNAcentral